UUUUGGAAGGAGGAAGUCGUAACAAGGUUUCCGUAGGUGAACCUGCGGAAGGAUCAUUGUCGAAACCUGCCUAGCAGAAUGACCAGCGAACUUGUUGUCAAAUACAUAUUGAUGGGGUCGGAUACGGAUACGGCCAUUGGCCCUUCGUAGUUGGCCCUGUUUGGUGGGGAUUUGGCCUUUGUGGUCGUAUCCUUGCCGCCUAAACUAACAAACCCCGACGCGGCAUGCGUCAAGGAAUACUAUAAAGUGAACGACGUGUUCUCGCCACCGAGCACGGUGUGUGGGGAUCGGCGAUCCAUGAAAGUAACAACGACUCUCGGCAACGGAUAUCUCGGCUCUCGCAUCGAUGAAGAACGUAGCGAAAUGCGAUACUUGGUGUGAAUUGCAGAAUCCCGUGAACCAUCGAGUCUUUGAACGCAAGUUGCGCCCGAAGCCAUCCGGCUGAGGGCACGUCUGCCUGGGUGUCACGCAACGUCGCCCCACCACCCACUGUGGAGGUGGAGCGGAAGUUGGCCUCCCGAGGGCUCAACAUGAGCUUUACGGUUUGCCGAAAAUGAAGUUGUCGUUCGAGGUCGCCACGACGAGCUGUGGUUGGAUGACCCUAGUUUAUAAAAGUCGUGGUUGUUCCUUCUUCGACGAUGCAACGAUGGACCUCGAGGGAAUAGUUUCCCCUUUUAGAUGCGACCCCCCAGGUUCAGGCGGAAA
Molecule: ribosomal RNA, 705 nt
Filed under: Stevia rebaudiana
Lineage: Eukaryota; Viridiplantae; Streptophyta; Magnoliopsida; Asterales; Asteraceae
Description: eukaryotic LSU rRNA
Rfam family: 5.8S ribosomal RNA (bases 312-467)
Source: RNAcentral